CCCUAUGGCUGCCCCACAGCUGCCCCAUAGCUGCCCUAUGGCCGCCCCACAGCUGCCCCAUAACCACCCUAUGGCAGCCCCAUAACCGCCCUAUGGCUGCCCCAUAACUGCCCUAUGGCUGCCCCAUAGCUGCCCUAUGGCCGCCCCAUAGCUGCCCCAUAGCUGCCCUAUGGCCGCCCCAUAACUGCCCUAUGGCAGCCCCAUAGCUGCCCCAUAGCUGCCCUCUGGCCACCCCAUAGCUGCCCACUCCCUCCCUACCCCCCUCCCACCCCGACCCACCCCACAUCCACCCCAUUAAACCACCCCUCCUACCCUACAUCCCCUCUUCAACCCCACAACCCCCACCCCAUUCUACCCCCACCCGCCCCCCCCCUGCUCCCCGUCCCCCCCCCGCUCCACGCGGCGUUGCCGUUGAAGAAGAGCGGUUUGUCGCGGGGUCUGGAUUGACGACGAUGGCGAGCCGUCGUAGCGAUGGAGCCGACACGUAGAUUCUCGGCCGUUUGCCGCCCUCCAGCACCGUCACGUUCUCAGCCUGCACCUCCUGAGCCCACCUGGUGACAAGGGGAGGGGGAGAUGGGGGGGGUAACCGGGGUGGGAUGGAUGGGGAGGGGGCGAUGGAAGGGUGGUGGUGGGAUGAAAUGGCAGUGGGAAACUUCAGCACCAUGGACAGCGGCAUGGCUGGCACAACAUGGGCGUCAAUGGGAACCAUCAGGCACCAUGGACAGCGCAUUGGGGCACCAAUGUGGACAACGGAACUUCAGCACCAUGGACAGCGGCAUUGGGGCACCUUAUGGGGUGUCUAUGGGGUCAAUGGGAACCUUCAGCACCAUGGACAGCGGCAUUGGGGGCAUUAAUAUGGGGUCAAUGGGAACCUUCAGCACCAUGGACAGCGGCAUUGGGGACACCAACAUGGGGACACCAACAUGGGGUCAAUGGGAACCUUUCAGCACCAUAGACAGCGGCAUUGGGGGCACCAAUAUGGGGGCACCAACAUGGGGUCAAUGGGAACCUUCAGCACCAUGGACAGCGGCAUUGGGGGCACCAACAUGGGUCAAUGGACUCAGGCACCAUGGAACAGCGGCUGUUGGGGCACCUUAUGGGGUCUGUCUAUGGGGUGAGGGUCCCUAUAGGGGAAGGGUCCUUAUAUGGGCUUCCGGGGGUCCCUAUGGGGUUUUAUGGGUAUGGGUCACUAUGUGGGGUCCUGGGGGUUCCUCUGGGGGGUUCCAUGGGGGUCCCUAUGGGGUGGGGGUCCUAUGGGGGUUGGUCCCUAUAUUGGGGGGUCCCAGAGGGUCUCUAUGGGGUGUGUCUCUAUUUGAGGGGUCUUCUAUUGGGGGGGGGUACGGGGGGUCCAAUGGGGGUCUCUAUGGGGGGUUUCCCUAUAGAGGGCGGUCCCUAUGGCGGAUUCCCUGGGGGCCUCUAUGGGUGGUGGUCCCUAGGGUGGUGUGGUCCCUAUGUGAGGGUCCAGGGGGCGGUCCCUAUGGGGUGUCUAUGGAGUGAGGGGCUCCCUAAGGGGUGGGGUCGUCCUUAUAUGAGGGUUCUGGGGGGUCCCGUAUGGGGGGGGGGGGCCCUAGAUGAGGGUUCCCUGGGGUCUCUAUUGGGGGGUGUGGGGUCGCGGCGUCAUAUAGGGGUGGCGUGGCUUACUCACU
RNAcentral lists this long non-coding RNA (1646 nucleotides) under Coturnix japonica (Japanese quail). Its description in RNAcentral is "lncRNA (ENSCJPG00005006428.1)". The record is from RNAcentral. Lineage: Eukaryota; Metazoa; Chordata; Aves; Galliformes; Phasianidae.